Molecule: long non-coding RNA, 543 nt
Organism: Haliotis rubra (blacklip abalone)
Lineage: Eukaryota; Metazoa; Mollusca; Gastropoda; Lepetellida; Haliotidae
Exons: 3
Source: RefSeq, a predicted model, not a curated record
AGCACAGCCAUUUAAAGCAUAUCUGCCCGAAAAAAAGAAUCCCACUCGGACAUGUCAACGUAUUUGUGCAGGAAAUUGAUUUCAAGGACCAGCGGGAGCAACUGAUUCAGAUGAACCGGAAGUUAAAGCCUAACGUCUAUGCAUGUAGUGCGUGCAACCUGGAGAGAGCAACGUCCUCUUCCUGCCCUCUGCAAAUCAUUACCAGCACGCCUGACAUCGUUGUCCUGCUGCCGCGCGUGACAAACCCGUCCAGGACAAGGAAACUGAGUCUUACGCCACCAAACACCCCGCAGAUGAAUAGAUUCUGAAUGUUUCUUUUCAUUACCAGCUUUCAAGUUGUGUUCAGAGGUUUAAACCAUCCAUCAUUUACCAUUCACUCAUUUCAUCCGCCCUCGUCACACUGAAAACCAGGGUCCAAUCCCACAUAUUUUUGAAGUCGAUUAUUUGUUCUGAAAAAAUCCACAUUCAUUUACCCACCACUCAAAACAUCCACCUCUAGAAAUAUUUGUACGUUGUUCUCAAAAUAACUGUUGGCCAAUCGCC